This 475-nucleotide long non-coding RNA is filed under the name Homo sapiens (human). RNAcentral describes it as "non-protein coding PCBP1-AS1:59". Lineage: Eukaryota; Metazoa; Chordata; Mammalia; Primates; Hominidae. The record is from RNAcentral.
AUGUUUCCUGAACACAAAAUGGCGACACGUGGUUAGCAUUCGUCGCCAACGAGAAAUUGGGGUCGGCCCGAAAGCUCUAGAAUGCACCCCUCUUCCUCCCCGGGGCCUUCCACCUCCGCGAGUUUUAUGACUUAAAAAAGCCCACAGGCUGGUCUGAAGACUUCCUAGCAUGGGCUGUUGUGCUGGAGAGAACGAGAGCUACGAAGAGACUACAGUGCCUCUGACUUUUUCAUAGGACAGUUGGCCGAGGAAGACAAACAUAAAGAUGAAGUGCUUAAUUCAAGGUCACACAAUGUCGGGGAUGGACCUCCAGAUUUCCUUACUGACCUGCAUUAUCUUGUGGAUACCUGAGUGAAUUCCACACCACCCAUUUUAUAGAUGAAACCACUGAGACAUGGAGCAAUUGACUGAGUAGUCACUGCCCCACCCCUGCCUGGAGCCUCACACAUGACUCGCCUCCUCUCAGUGACCACAG